RNAcentral lists this ribosomal RNA (469 nucleotides) under uncultured Pseudomonadota bacterium. Its description in RNAcentral is "bacterial SSU rRNA". It matches the Rfam family "Bacterial small subunit ribosomal RNA", at positions 355 to 816 of the family's 1533-position model. Lineage: Bacteria; Pseudomonadati; Pseudomonadota. The record is from RNAcentral.
UGGGGAAUCUUGCGCAAUGGGCGAAAGCCUGACGCAGCGACGCCGCGUGAGUGAUGAAGGCCUUCGGGUUGUAAAGCUCUGUGGAGGGGGACGAAUAAGUCGGAGCGAAUAGCUCCGAUGAUGACGGUACCCCUUUAGCAAGCACCGGCUAACUCUGUGCCAGCAGCCGCGGUAAGACAGAGGGUGCAAACGUUGUUCGGAAUUACUGGGCGUAAAGCGCGUGUAGGCUGCUCGGAAAGUCGGAUGUGAAAGCCCUGGGCUCAACCUAGGAAGUGCAUUCGAAACUUCUGAGCUUGAGUAUCGGAGAGGAUCGCGGAAUUCUCGGUGUAGAGGUGAAAUUCGUAGAUAUCGAGAGGAACACCGGUGGCGAAGGCGGCGAUCUGGACGAUUACUGACGCUGAGACGCGAAAGCGUGGGGAGCGAAACAGGAUUAGAUACCCUGGUAGUCCACGCCGUAAACGAUGGGUGC